RNAcentral lists this ribosomal RNA (1453 nucleotides) under Salmonella enterica subsp. enterica serovar Kentucky. RNAcentral describes it as "partial 23S ribosomal RNA". It matches the Rfam family "Bacterial large subunit ribosomal RNA", at positions 1511 to 2925 of the family's 2925-position model. The record is from RNAcentral. Lineage: Bacteria; Pseudomonadati; Pseudomonadota; Gammaproteobacteria; Enterobacterales; Enterobacteriaceae.
UUUAAGCGUGUAGGUGUGUGUUCCAGGUAAAUCCGGUUCACUUUAACACUGAGGCGUGAUGACGAGGCACUACGGUGCUGAAGCAACAAAUGCCCUGCUUCCAGGAAAAGCCUCUAAGCAUCAGGUAACAUCAAAUCGUACCCCAAACCGACACAGGUGGUCAGGUAGAGAAUACCAAGGCGCUUGAGAGAACUCGGGUGAAGGAACUAGGCAAAAUGGUGCCGUAACUUCGGGAGAAGGCACGCUGACACGUAGGUGAAGUGAUUUACUCAUGGAGCUGAAGUCAGUCGAAGAUACCAGCUGGCUGCAACUGUUUAUUAAAAACACAGCACUGUGCAAACACGAAAGUGGACGUAUACGGUGUGACGCCUGCCCGGUGCCGGAAGGUUAAUUGAUGGGGUCAGCGCAAGCGAAGCUCCUGAUCGAAGCCCCGGUAAACGGCGGCCGUAACUAUAACGGUCCUAAGGUAGCGAAAUUCCUUGUCGGGUAAGUUCCGACCUGCACGAAUGGCGUAAUGAUGGCCAGGCUGUCUCCACCCGAGACUCAGUGAAAUUGAACUCGCUGUGAAGAUGCAGUGUACCCGCGGCAAGACGGAAAGACCCCGUGAACCUUUACUAUAGCUUGACACUGAACAUUGAGCCUUGAUGUGUAGGAUAGGUGGGAGGCUUUGAAGUGUGGACGCCAGUCUGCAUGGAGCCGACCUUGAAAUACCACCCUUUAAUGUUUGAUGUUCUAACGUGGACCCGUAAUCCGGGUUGCGGACAGUGUCUGGUGGGUAGUUUGACUGGGGCGGUCUCCUCCUAAAGAGUAACGGAGGAGCACGAAGGUUGGCUAAUCCUGGUCGGACAUCAGGAGGUUAGUGCAAUGGCAUAAGCCAGCUUGACUGCGAGCGUGACGGCGCGAGCAGGUGCGAAAGCAGGUCAUAGUGAUCCGGUGGUUCUGAAUGGAAGGGCCAUCGCUCAACGGAUAAAAGGUACUCCGGGGAUAACAGGCUGAUACCGCCCAAGAGUUCAUAUCGACGGCGGUGUUUGGCACCUCGAUGUCGGCUCAUCACAUCCUGGGGCUGAAGUAGGUCCCAAGGGUAUGGCUGUUCGCCAUUUAAAGUGGUACGCGAGCUGGGUUUAGAACGUCGUGAGACAGUUCGGUCCCUAUCUGCCGUGGGCGCUGGAGAACUGAGGGGGGCUGCUCCUAGUACGAGAGGACCGGAGUGGACGCAUCACUGGUGUUCGGGUUGUCAUGCCAAUGGCACUGCCCGGUAGCUAAAUGCGGAAGAGAUAAGUGCUGAAAGCAUCUAAGCACGAAACUUGCCCCGAGAUGAGUUCUCCCUGAGACUUAGAGUCUCCUGAAGGAACGUUGAAGACGACGACGUUGAUAGGCCGGGUGUGUAAGCGCAGCGAUGCGUUGAGCUAACCGGUACUAAUGAACCGUGAGGCUUAACCUUACAACGCCGAAG